This 253-nucleotide ribosomal RNA is filed under the name uncultured bacterium. RNAcentral's name for it is "partial 16S ribosomal RNA". It matches the Rfam family "Bacterial small subunit ribosomal RNA", at positions 524 to 776 of the family's 1533-position model. The record is from RNAcentral.
UACAGAGGUCUCGAGCGUUAGGCGGAAUCACUGGGCUUAAAGCGUGUGUAGGCGGAUCGUUAAGUGCCUUGUGAAAUCGCACGGCUCAACCGUGGAACUGCUUGGCAUACUGGCGGUCUUGAGCAACCUAGGGGCGAGCGGAACAAAUGGUGGAGCGGUGAAAUGCGUAGAUAUCAUUUGGAACGCCAAUGGUGAAAACAGCUCGCUGGGGGUUUGCUGACGCUGAGACACGAAAGCCAGGGGAGCAAACGGG